Molecule: long non-coding RNA, 3998 nt
Filed under: Homo sapiens (human)
Lineage: Eukaryota; Metazoa; Chordata; Mammalia; Primates; Hominidae
Description: long non-coding RNA NONHSAT178689.1
Source: RNAcentral
AAGGGAGACACCCCAGCUAUGAAAUAGGCAACAAGGCAAAGAACAGCCUGGCUCCCGUGCUGCGGUGCCCCCUCCAGCACGGGACCCUGCUCCGAGCUCCCUGACUCCCAGAGACACCGGUGCUCUCGGGGCUGACAGGGCUCUUUUCUUUGAGGACUGGAAGGCAGGCAGCGGGAGCACAGUAGGGGAAUAUUGCGACAUGCGAGAACCCAAAAGCAAGCUGGGGAAGCAAGGAUUCUGAGGGGAGAGGAGCAACACGCACGAUGGGGAAUGGCUGCGUGGGAAGUGGACCCACUGUUCUCUGCAGUUCCUCUGUCUGCUCAGCCCCUGCCUGCCCGCCUGCCUGUCCAUCCCGUGCUGCAGGUCCCUGGAACCCGGUGCUGGGCCUGCACUGGAGGCUGGAGUGAGGGCGCCAGUGGUGCAGCUGGAAAGGUGGCCCCGGGCAGGGCGGCUCCUCUCGGCCCCGCCAACGGUGCCAGCUCCUCCAAGCUCCAGGCUCGGCCUGGGGCCCAGGACACUGACCUGAGCAGGAAGGGGCUGCUCUGGGCUUCCAGCAGCCACUGUCUCCGAGUCCUCGGACGUCCUUUCUGCCUCUUUCUCACAGACCCUUGUGCUCCUGGCCUGACUUGGAGGACACUGUCCACCCCUCAGCCUUGGCGCCCAUGGAGGCUUCUGGAAAGACCUGCCCUGCCUCUGAAUCCACCAUCACCCAGCACACUGGCGUUUAGGAAGCAAAGCAUUUUGUGCCAUGGGAAAGCACAGGAGGAAGAACCAAAAAUGCUUGGCUCAGGUCUCAUGGCACUGCGUCAUAGCCGUGGACCUGGGGCAGGUGUCUGUCUUCUCUGAGCUUCCUUCCCUCUCCUGUGAAACAGCAAUGGUGGCAAAAGCGUCACCUGUCCUGCAGAUGCUUUGGAACGUUGUGCUGAUCAAGCAAGAAAAGCAAUGCAAAGGCCCCACAGGAGCCUCGUCCUCUGAAAACAUUGGUGUCAUCAUAACCCUGCCCCAGUGCCACUCCACACUCGUGCUAUUCUGGAAGAGGCCUGGCCACCCUCAGAGCUGCUGGGGAGGGCAGUGCUGGCUCUAAAAGCCCUGCUGGCCCUGGCCCCUCUGCCCCUCAAGGCUGUAGCUUUGGGUCCUCUGUGUUUCUGUGCUGGGGCCUUAGUUUCCGAAACUGUAAAAUGAAAAUCCGAGCGGUGAACCUCAUAUCAAUCCCUGCUCCCACCAUUCUCAGAAGGAAAUGGUAAUCAAGCCUCAAAAGCCCCAUGGUUGGGGCAGCUGGACUAGAACUUCACUCUCUGGCCAUCAGCUCCGAGUCAUCUGCGUUUGGGAAACAGACGUCUCUGAGCCUCCCCCGUGGGAGAGGAGUCCCUCUUGCCAUGAGGAAGAGGAAUUUUUUCCGUGGGUCUCUCGGGACAAGGAACAGAGACCCUGCUUCCCGGAGCUGUGGUCAUGAAGGGUGUGCUCCUGCAUGGAGACGCCAUGGCAACAUGGUACCUGGGGGCGGGCUGCCAUCAAGGUGCCAACCAGAGAGGCCAUGGCACAGCCACCCGGCGGAAAGCACACAACCAUUUUAAGGACUUCCUCGCCAAUCUGACAGCAGCUUUCGCCUCUGACAGGUGCCGUUUGUCCACCUCCGUUGCUUCUCCCUCUUCGGCACACUCACCAGGAUGAGGAAGCUGGAACCCGGCGUCAAAGCUCUUCCUCUUUGAGGUUAAACCCAGAUCAGAAAAAUGCAGCCACUGAAAGGGUUUACUUAAUGGCAGAAGCACAGGCUGCCGAACUUUGAUUUGUUGUAUCCUUCUGUGCCCAGAGCCAGAGCCCCAAUGUGGGUCCCACAAGGUUUCGUGCCAAGAGGUCUCUGAUACCGACCCCUGUAUCACCAGCGGACAGAGGCAAAGGCCCCCAAAGGAGGCCACGGGAGCUUCACUUCCCCAUGAAACAUGGGAGAGAAAACACAACCAGAUAUGCCCCGACCACAUCUACAAAAGCAGUAUCUGAAUCUCUGCAUCCAGCCUCACAGUUUGCUAAGAGGAGAAACGCUGAUCCUUCCUGUCAUGGGGCAAAGCAACAACCUCCCGAGUAGGGCACCAGAAGGGAAACCACACACACAAGCCACGGGCGCCAGCGGCCGCCACCCUGCAGCGCUCUCAUUCCCAGUAUCUGCAAGGAGCUGCAUCCUCUGCAAGGAGCUGAGGUAACAGCCUCAGGUUACCUGAAAUCUGCAUCAGAACGAAAGGCUUGUCUGUGAAUUUUUUCAGACAUAGAGAAAAGCCCGCUAUUCUGGAUGGUGCACAGCUUUCUGUAAAGAAAGUAAAUGCCCGUGACUUUCAUUAACUCGUGCGAGCCGAUGAUUCAGGAAUAAACAUAAUCUUCAACCCGGCAAAGGGCAAAAACACAGGAAAAACUGCAUCUGUCAUUCAGACAGAAAAGAAUUCUCUCCAAACUGCAAAAUCUAAAAUGCCCUGAUCUUGCUUUUAAAAAAAAAUCUAACAUACUCUCCUGAGGCAUGGUAGGAGCUGUUUGACCAGAAAUCGAAUAAUAGCUUCCUUGCGGCGGGGAGUGGGGGGGGACACAUAUAUAUAUAUGUGCUUUUUUUCAGAGGAAGCUAUUAUUUAACUAGUAUUGUAACUAGUAUUUAACUAGUAUUGAAAAGAGAACCACAGUGUUCUGUGAUUUCUCGGAAUUGCCAGAGCAUUAUGAAGUCAGGGGGAUGGAGAGUAAGAAAAGGGGAGACAGCAUGGCCCACCAUUUACAGUCGGAUGUGUCGUCUCAUCUCCAGCCUUGCAGACUUUGACACCCAUGUUCUGUCCAAUAAUACUGAUUUCACUGGUGCCUGUUUUAGCUGCUGGUUCCAGUUUCCAUGGGAAACAGAUACCAUGACCCUAAGCUUCAGAUAGUUUGCAGGGGGUCUGCUGUUUCCCACUCCCACCGGUUUUUAGGUAGAAAAUACGCACGCAUUGAAUAACAGAAGAUCCCUGGAGAGAAAGGAAGAUGCUGCGUAGGUGACUGUCUCCUUUGAGCAUCUUUAAGGAGGAUCAUUUAAUCACUUAAACAAGGUUUCUGGGGAUGUCAAGGAUCUCUGUGAGCCACAAAAGAAGUGUGAUGUAGGGAAAAUGGCAGAAAAGGUGCAUCUAUUUCAUCUAGAACUACAUUUUACGAUUCCUAAUUCAAAAAAUAUACUGAAGAAGCAUAUUAUCACUUUCACAAGAAAAAAAUUAUAUCAAAUAUACCUCUGUUCUUUCUUAUCAUGGCAGCUCAGAAAAACAGUGACACCACUAUCUUCUGUGGUUCUGAACAGGCCACACAGAUUCAUCCCUGAGCUCUCUGUCUCUGAGUUUUUUCAGAUUAACUUCUGAGCUCUCUGGUAUCUGCACUUCCUGAGAGUGCCAGAAGAAUCAAAUAUUACUCUGGGAGGUAAAAAGAGUAAAAAGCAAAUUCAUUCGCCCUUCACUCUCAGGGCCACUGCUGAAACCGUCGAAAUGAACAGCAGAGGUCCCGAAUGCCGCUUUGUGGAUGUGUGCAAAAACCCGCCAUGUGCAACCUGGAAAUUAAAGGAAUAAGGACCAGGAGAUAUGUUGGUUGGUUGGUUUUCAGUCACAUAGACAAAAUAGGACAGUCCAGACGAUGCCAUCUGUCAGUCCUGAGGCAUCACUCUCCACUGAAAGGAGGAACUGAUGGGCCCUUUGUUUUAAUUACAUAGAAAUGCGUCUUUUAAAAUGACAGAGAAAAUUGAAAAAUCUCAUCUCAUUAACUACACUGGCAUUUAUUGUAUCCAUCAGUGUUUACUAGAAAAUUAGUUCCCAAUUAUUUUGGUAAACAGCAGCAAUUGAAGCUUCCCUCAUUCCCUAGACACUAACUGGCAUAUGUCAUUGACUUUGUCUACAGAUACUAGUUUAUUUUUCUCGUCUGUGAGCACACUGUUAGUUCUAGCCAAUAGCUUCAUAACUUACUACAAGGUAAGUCUACAAAUUCUUGUAAUAAAAUACAAUUUAAAAAUC